Molecule: long non-coding RNA, 929 nt
Organism: Cavia porcellus (domestic guinea pig)
Lineage: Eukaryota; Metazoa; Chordata; Mammalia; Rodentia; Caviidae
Exons: 5
Source: RefSeq, a predicted model, not a curated record
AGUGCUCCUGGUGAAGUACCUCUCUGCAGAUCCAGAAACUUCGGACUGCAAAAGAGGAGAAUGAAGUGACUGAAGUCUGAGACUGUGAACCAAAACCAGGCUUUUCUCCUUUUUAGUUGUUUUUGUCAGUAUUCUGUCGCAACAAGGGGAAGCUGUGUUUAAACUUUAUUGGGCAAGUCAAGGACUCGUUUUGGGCCUCAGGUUUCCCAACUAGAAAAUGGACCAAAUGCCCUGGAAGGCCCUCAGUUACGCCUUCCUGCAGUGCCUGGGAUCUGUCUCCCUCCUGAUUGCUAUCUUUGGCUGCCCUGCUGGGAUGUUUGGGGAAAUCAGCUAGACUGGACCUUUCUGGAAAAGCAGAUCCUGCCAUCCUGCAGAACUCAGGCCGUGUCACCUUGCUCUAGUCCAUCUUGGUCUGUGUUCUGCUGUUCUAGCAGGAUACACCGUACAGGUCUAUUGGCUGCCCAUCUGUGGAGACCAAGGGCAUGGGCUGGUCUCAGUGAAAAGUUCUGCUCUGCUACAGACACCCACCACGAUGUGCUGCCUCACUACAGGCCCAAAGCAAUGGGGUAAUCAGUCAUGAGUGGAACCUCCAAAACUGAGCUAAAACAAACCUCUCCUCUUUGGAUUGAACUCAGAACCUCACACUUGCCAGGCUGGUGCUUAUGCCACUGAGCUAAAUACCCACCCAGCCCUGCUGCUCUGACUUCUGCUCUCUAUUUUCCCCAUUUGAAAAAUGGAUACAACCAACCCUUCUCUUUCUACCUCUCAUUGGAGAUGGUGGGACUGCAAACCAAGAUCUAAUGAAGGGCUCUGAGACCUGGGCAGCGGAAGCUAUUCCCUUCCCACUCUGCAGCAGCUGAACCCACUUGGAAGGGCCCAUGGCCACCUCUGGCACUGCCUUCAUCUAGGCCAGCCAUCCUCACCAUGCA